UACGGGGGGGGCAAGCGUUGUUCGGAAUUACUGGGCGUAAAGGGCGCGUAGGCGGUCGUGACAAGUCACUUGUGAAAUCUCCGGGCUUAACUCGGAACGGUCAAGUGAUACUGUCGGACUAGAGUACAGAAGGGGCAACUGGAAUUCUCGGUGUAGCGGUGAAAUGCGUAGAUAUCAGAAGGAACACCAGUGGCGAAGGCGGCUCACUGGACUGGUAUUGACGCUGAGGUGCGAAAGCGUGGGGAGCAAACAGG
This 254-nucleotide ribosomal RNA is filed under the name uncultured bacterium. RNAcentral's name for it is "partial 16S ribosomal RNA". It matches the Rfam family "Bacterial small subunit ribosomal RNA", at positions 524 to 776 of the family's 1533-position model. The record is from RNAcentral.